UGGGCCUUUGAGAGCUCAGAAAAGUUUGGAGGCCCCGCCUGUGCCACUGAAGCUCGUUCCGGAAGUUUUAAAAUGCAUCGAAGUCCGCGUCAGCCCAGGGAUGUUUGAGGCUGGAGACUGCUGAAUACCGUAGCCUUCCCAACUGGGAUAGACUGACACCGGUGACUCCCAGAAAAACCAGGAACAGGAUGUGGGAAACUCAUAGGGGGCGCCUGACCUUCUCCAGGAGGAGAAGGCGAGCAACAGUGGCUUCCAGCUCCAACUUCCGACGGGCCUGGUGGGAUCAGGUACAGAGUCAGGUGCAUGGCCUGGCUGGGGCUUGGCCUGGCUGCCCUUUGUGGAACACCAGUCUCCUCACCUGCACAGGUAUUCGUUCGUCUUUACCAUUCCAUACAUAACAUUCGUGAGCCGACGCUGCCGACCCUGCCCUGGGGACAUCGCGGUGGAGGAGACUGGUCCAGUCCCGUGUGGAGCUCACAGUUCAGUGGGGGAGUUAGACGCCUCACCACCACCAGUGGGUCAGCUUCUCUGAUGGAACCCUGAUACACUCUGUAAGCAGAGACUCUGGAUGCCUGUGGAAUUGCUGUUACCUCAAGCUGUCGUUCACGGAGGAAGUUGCAGUGGCUUUCCUCUUCCUCUCUUACAUAAGAAGAGGAUGUUUUUGUCUCCACCCUCCAAAAGGCUGAUACAAAAAGGUGAGAGACCCAGAAGGUGAGUCUUGGAAGAUGAAGAGCUGGAAAGAUUUGGCAGAAGUCACUAAGGACUACUACAUGCCCAAACGCAACAACUCUACACCAUCAAGUGUGUCCACAUCCAUUGAGUAAAAGUACAGAAUACACAUAGAAUUUGCUUACGGCAACAUGAGUUUGGUGGUUUCUUUCAGGGAUGGAGGGAGGGAAGAAGAGAACAGAGGAG
This is a long non-coding RNA of Lynx canadensis (Canada lynx), 915 nucleotides long. RefSeq lists it as uncharacterized. Lineage: Eukaryota; Metazoa; Chordata; Mammalia; Carnivora; Felidae. The transcript has 5 exons. The record is from RefSeq and is a predicted model, not a curated record.